CAGUAGCCGCGGUAAUACGUAGGUCCCGAGCGUUGUCCGGAUUUAUUGGGCGUAAAGCGAGCGCAGGCGGUUAGAUAAGUCUGAAGCUAAAGGCUGUGGCUUAACCAUAGUACGCUUUGGAAACUGUUUAACUUGAGUGCAAGAGGGGAGAGUGGAAUUCCAUGUGUAGCGGUGAAAUGCGUAGAUAUAUGGAGGAACACCGGUGGCGAAAGCGGCUCUCUGGCUUGUAAUUGACGCUGAGGCUCGAAAGCGUGGGGAGCAAACAGGAUUAGAUACCCCGGUAGUCCCUGUCUCUUAUACA
This 301-nucleotide ribosomal RNA is filed under the name uncultured bacterium. RNAcentral's name for it is "partial 16S ribosomal RNA". It matches the Rfam family "Bacterial small subunit ribosomal RNA", at positions 509 to 808 of the family's 1533-position model. The record is from RNAcentral.